Molecule: ribosomal RNA, 501 nt
Filed under: uncultured bacterium
Lineage: Bacteria
Description: bacterial SSU rRNA
Rfam family: Bacterial small subunit ribosomal RNA
Source: RNAcentral
GAGUUUGAUCCUGGCUCAGAUUGAACGCUAGCGGCAGGCUUAAUACAUGCAAGUCGAGGGGCAGCACGGUUAGCAAUAACUGGUGGCGACCGGCGCACGGGUGCGUAACACGUAUACAAUCUACCUUAAACAGGGGGAUAGCCUUUCGAAAGAGAGAUUAAUACCCCGUAAUAAAUUGAACGGCAUCGUUUGAUUUGAAAGCUCCGGCGGUUUGAGAUGAGUAUGCGUCUGAUUAGCUAGUUGGUGAGGUAACGGCUCACCAAGGCGACGAUCAGUAGGGGACCUGAGAGGACUAACCCCCACACUGGUACUGAGACACGGACCAGACUCCUACGGGAGGCAGCAGUAAGGAAUAUUGGUCAAUGGAGGCAACUCUGAACCAGCCAUGCCGCGUGCAGGAUGACGGCCCUAUGGGUUGUAAACUGCUUUUAUACAAGAGAAAACCCUGGUACGUGUACCAAGUUGAUAGUAUUGUAAGAAUAAGCAUCGGCUAACUUCGUG